GACGAACGCUGGCGGCGUGCCUAAUACAUGCAAGUCGAGCGCAGGAAGCUAGACAGAACUCUUCGGAGUGACGUCAAGUGGAAUGAGCGGCGGACGGGUGAGUAACACGUGGGCAACCUNCCUGUAAGACUGGGAUAACUCCGGGAAACCGGAGCUAAUACCGGAUAAAAUUUUUCGCUGCAUGGCGAAGAAAUGAAAGGUGGCUUUUAGCUAUCACUUACAGAUGGGCCCGCGGCGCAUUAGCUAGUUGGUGAGGUAACGGCUCACCAAGGCAACGAUGCGUAGCCGACCUGAGAGGGUGAUCGGCCACACUGGGACUGAGACACGGCCCAGACUCCUACGGGAGGCAGCAGUAGGGAAUCUUCCGCAAUGGACGAAAGUCUGACGGAGCAACGCCGCGUGAACGAAGCCGGUUUUCGGAUCGUAAAGUUCUGUUGUUAGGGAAGAACACGUACCGUUCAAAUAGGGCGGUACCUUGACGGUACCUAACGAGAAAGCCCCGGCUAACUACGUGCCAGCAGCCGCGGUAGUACGUAGGGGGCGAGCGUUGUCCGGAAUUAUUGGGCGUAAAGCGCGCGCAGGCGGUUUUUUAAGUCUGAUGUGAAAUCUUGCGGCUCAACCGUAAGCGGUCAUUGGAAACUGGAGAACUUGAGUGCAGAAGAGGAGAGUGGAAUUCCACGUGUAGCGGUGAAAUGCGUAGAGAUGUGGAGGAACACCAGUGGCGAAGGCGACUCUCUGGUCUGUAACUGACGCUGAGGCGCGAAAGCGUGGGGAGCAAACAGGAUUAGAUACCCUGGUAGUCCACGCCGUAAACGAUGAGUGCUAGGUGUUAGGGGGUUUCCGCCCCUUAGUGCUGCAGUUAACGCAUUAAGCACUCCGCCUGGGGAGUACGGCCGCAAGGCUGAAACUCAAAAGAAUUGACGGGGACCCGCACAAGCGGUGGAGC
Molecule: ribosomal RNA, 946 nt
Filed under: uncultured bacterium
Lineage: Bacteria
Description: bacterial SSU rRNA
Rfam family: Bacterial small subunit ribosomal RNA
Source: RNAcentral